RNAcentral lists this ribosomal RNA (490 nucleotides) under uncultured bacterium. Its description in RNAcentral is "partial 16S ribosomal RNA". It matches the Rfam family "Bacterial small subunit ribosomal RNA", at positions 30 to 507 of the family's 1533-position model. The record is from RNAcentral.
AUUGAACGCUGGCGGCAGGCCUAACACAUGCAAGUCGAACGGUAACAGAAAGCAGCUUGCUGCUUUGCUGACGAGUGGCGGACGGGUGAGUAAUGUCUGGGAAACUGCCUGAUGGAGGGGGAUAACUACUGGAAACGGUAGCUAAUACCGCAUAACGUCGCAAGACCAAAGAGGGGGACCUUCGGGCCUCUUGCCAUCGGCUGUGCCCAGAUGGGAUUAGCUAGUAGGUGGGGUAACGGCUCACCUAGGCGACGAUCCCUAGCUGGUCUGAGAGGAUGACCAGCCACACUGGAACUGAGACACGGUCCAGACUCCUACGGGAGGCAGCAGUGGGGAAUAUUGCACAAUGGGCGCAAGCCUGAUGCAGCCAUGCCGCGUGUAUGAAGAAGGCCUUCGGGUUGUAAAGUACUUUCAGCGGGGAGGAAGGGAGUAAAGUUAAUACCUUUGCUCAUUGACGUUACCCGCAGAAGAAGCACCGGCUAACUCCGUG